GCAGUCGAACGAUGAUGCCCAGCUUGCUGGGCGGAUUAGUGGCGAACGGGUGAGUAAUACGUGAGUAACCUGCCCCUGACUCUGGGAUAAGCCUGGGAAACCGGGUCUAAUACUGGAUACGACCUUCCACCGCAUGGUGGGGGGUGGAAAGGGUUUACUGGUUUUGGAUGGGCUCACGGCCUAUCAGCUUGUUGGUGGGGUAAUGGCUCACCAAGGCGACGACGGGUAGCCGGCCUGAGAGGGUGACCGGCCACACUGGGACUGAGACACGGCCCAGACUCCUACGGGAGGCAGCAGUGGGGAAUAUUGCACAAUGGGCGAAAGCCUGAUGCAGCGACGCCGCGUGAGGGAUGACGGCCUUCGGGUUGUAAACCUCUUUCAGUAGGGAAGAAGCGCAAGUGACGGUACCUGCAGAAGAAGCGCCGGCUAACUACGUGCCAGCAGCCGCGGUAAUACGUAGGGCGCAAGCGUUGUCCGGAAUUAUUUGGGCGUAAAGAGCUCGUAGGCGGUUUGUCGCGUCCGCUGUGAAAGCCCGGGGCUCAACCCCGGGUCGGCAGUGGGGUACGGGCAGACUAGAGUGCAGUAGGGGAGACUGGAAUUUCCUGGUGUAGCGGUGAAAUGCGCAUAUUUUCAGAGGAACACCCGAUGGCGAAGCAGGUCUCUGGGCUGUUA
Molecule: ribosomal RNA, 672 nt
Filed under: Kocuria sp. Al-Dhabi-8
Lineage: Bacteria; Bacillati; Actinomycetota; Actinomycetes; Micrococcales; Micrococcaceae
Description: bacterial SSU rRNA
Rfam family: Bacterial small subunit ribosomal RNA
Source: RNAcentral